Non-coding RNA from Pelobates cultripes (western spadefoot toad), 212 nucleotides. The record is from the annotation of a GenBank genome assembly. NCBI's taxonomy places the organism in Eukaryota, Metazoa, Chordata, Amphibia, Anura, Pelobatidae.
GGGCCCUAGUCACCAUUUAGGUGAGUAGGCUCUAUAGCGUUAGGUAUACAUAUUUGUAUUCCUAACGCUAUAGUGUUCCUUUAAAGAUGACCCUGCCUAUUGUUGUGAAUCGAAAUCUGAUAUGCAAAAUUUAGGAAAAAAAUAGUUAAUCUGCAAACAUUCUCUAACUCAUCUCUAAUUACAACUUGGCUAUUUUUACCCUGUGUUUUUCC